This 479-nucleotide ribosomal RNA is filed under the name uncultured bacterium. Its description in RNAcentral is "bacterial SSU rRNA". It matches the Rfam family "Bacterial small subunit ribosomal RNA", at positions 335 to 806 of the family's 1533-position model. The record is from RNAcentral.
ACUCCUACGGGAGGCAGCAGUGGGGAAUAUUGCACAAUGGGGGAAACCCUGAUGCAGCCAUGCCGCGUGUGUGAAGAAGGCCUUCGGGUUGUAAAGCACUUUCAGUAGGGAGGAAGGUAGUGUAGUUAACACCUGCAUUAUUUGACGUUACCUACAGAAGAAGCACCGGCUAACUCCGUGCCAGCAGCCGCGGUAAUACGGAGGGUGCGAGCGUUAAUCGGAAUUACGUGGGCGUAAAGCGCAUGCAGGCGGCCUGUUAAGUCAGAUGUGAAAGCCCGGGGUCUUAACCGUCGGAAUUGCAUUUGAAACUGGCAGGCUAGAGUCUUGUAGAGGGGUUAGAAUUUCAGGUGUAGCGGUGAAAUGCGUAGAGAUCUGAAGGAAUACCGAGUGGCGAAGGCGGCCCCUGGACAAAGACUGACGCUCAGAUGCGAAAGCGUGGGAGCAAACAGGAUUAGAUACCCCGUGGUAGCGACUGAUAA